UCUUAAAUUCUCCAAAAUUCUAUCUUCCAUCUUCAGGCUCUGGCGCUUAAAUUGUUAGUGGUUUACACAAUUAAUCUGUUUCUAGAUCAAAAAUCUGAUGUAAUCCAAA
Long non-coding RNA from Drosophila pseudoobscura, 109 nucleotides. RefSeq lists it as uncharacterized. The transcript is spliced from 2 exons. NCBI's taxonomy places the organism in Eukaryota, Metazoa, Arthropoda, Insecta, Diptera, Drosophilidae. The record is from RefSeq and is a predicted model, not a curated record.